Molecule: long non-coding RNA, 391 nt
Filed under: Phoenix dactylifera (date palm)
Lineage: Eukaryota; Viridiplantae; Streptophyta; Magnoliopsida; Arecales; Arecaceae
Description: long non-coding RNA (PDAC_LNC008983)
Source: RNAcentral
AACUCGGCCCGGUCCGCUGGAAGCAUCGCACGCCGAAACACAGCCCGGGCGACCUCGGCGUCAUGGAUGGCCGAGCUCCCCUCGAGGAGUGGGGAUCCCGGCUCGGCCGACUCCUCCCUUGGGGCCCUUGAAGAGCUCGGCUCAUCCGAGCUGGGGACCUCGGGGCCCCCGGUCGGCCCAGGCCCUGGGCGCUGUAAAGGAAUCGUGGUCGGCCUCCCCCGCUGGGCGACAGGAGCGGGACAGAUAGGGGCCGUUGGGCCUGUGUCGCCGGCGUCCCGCGUACGCCCCUGGCAAAUUGUGGAGGCCCCCGCCCCCGCCCCCGGGCCUCCCGUCCCGGCCGAUGUAGAAGCACCGGCCGACCUCGACUUCUUCCGAGGCUGGGGAAUAGCCC